UACGAGGGGGCAAGCGUUGCUCGGAAUCACUGGGCGUAAAGGGCGCGUAGGCGGGAUGGCAAGUCGGUCGUGAAAUCUCUCGGCUCAACCGAGAAACGUCGGCCGAUACUGCCGUUCUUGAGGGAUGCAGAGGAGACUAGAAUUCCCGGUGUAGCGGUGAAAUGUGUAGAGAUCGGGAGGAACACCAGUGGCGAAGGCGCGUCUCUGGGCAUUUCCUGACGCUGAGGCGCGAAAGCGUCGGGAGCAAACGGG
This 252-nucleotide ribosomal RNA is filed under the name uncultured prokaryote. Its description in RNAcentral is "partial 16S ribosomal RNA". It matches the Rfam family "Bacterial small subunit ribosomal RNA", at positions 524 to 776 of the family's 1533-position model. The record is from RNAcentral.